AGAAUCAACGCUGGCGGCGUGCCUAACACAUGCAAGUCGAACGAGAAAGGGUAGCAAUACCUGAGUAAAGUGGCGCACGGGUGAGUAACACGUGACUAACCUACCUUUUAGUGGGGGAUAACCUAGGGAAACCUGGGCUAAUACCGCAUAAUACCUACGGGUCAAAGCAGCAAUGCGCUGAAAGAGGGGGUCGCGGUCGAUUAGUUAGUUGGCAGGGUAAUGGCCUACCAAGACUGUGAUCGAUAUCCGGCCUGAGAGGGCGCACGGACACACUGGAACUGAAACACGGUCCAGACUCCUACGGGAGGCAGCAGUGGGGAAUUUGCGCAAUGGGGGAAACCCUGACGCAGCAACGCCGCGUGGAGGAUGAAGUCCCUUGGGACGUAAACUCCUUUCGAUCGGGACGAUAAUGACGGUACCGGAAGAAGAAGCCCCGGCUAACUUCGCGCCAGCAGCCGC
Molecule: ribosomal RNA, 459 nt
Filed under: uncultured bacterium
Lineage: Bacteria
Description: SSU rRNA
Rfam family: Bacterial small subunit ribosomal RNA
Source: RNAcentral